RNAcentral lists this non-coding RNA (24 nucleotides) under Drosophila melanogaster (fruit fly). Lineage: Eukaryota; Metazoa; Arthropoda; Insecta; Diptera; Drosophilidae. RNAcentral also lists the same sequence under 6 other names. The record is from RNAcentral.
AGCUGGUGUUGUGAAUCAGGCCGU